UUUCUGGUCACUUCCUUUCUAUUUAUGAUUGGUUAGUUGCACAAACAGCAAAAUUUGAUUGGUGCAUUCAAACUAUUCAACAGGAAGUUUACAAUUAUACUAGGAAGUGUAUGAAUAUCUCGAGGAACUUGAUGAAAUGAAUUGGUCAGCCCGAGGUAAUGUAUUGAAUCAAUAUUUGAGCAACACUUCAAUUGGAACGACAGUAAAAGAAAAUAAAUUAGAAAAAUAGUUGAUUAUGAAACAUUUAUUGAUUAUAUAUGCGGUGUAUGUGUAUGUGUGUAGGAAUAAUGAUUGUGACAUUUUUUAUUCAUGUAAUAAAAAUACUUCUUAUAUACUUUGUUGGGAUUAAAUAGUAUAGUCGUAAUAAUUUGUUUUCAUUGUUAUCGGUAUUUUAAUAAGAAGCGUUAUAAAAAUAGUCAGUAUGAUGUAAGUAUACACUUUGGAAGAAAUUAAGUAAGGAUGUAACUAGAACCAGAAAACUCUCAAUAUUCAGUUUAAAUAAUUAAUGGAAAAUUAUAUAAUCAAAUAGAAAAAAGUAUCCUGAAAGAAUUCAGAAAUAAAAA
Paramuricea clavata is the source of this 563-nucleotide non-coding RNA. NCBI's taxonomy places the organism in Eukaryota, Metazoa, Cnidaria, Anthozoa, Malacalcyonacea, Plexauridae. The record is from the annotation of a GenBank genome assembly.